Molecule: long non-coding RNA, 2241 nt
Organism: Trifolium pratense (red clover)
Lineage: Eukaryota; Viridiplantae; Streptophyta; Magnoliopsida; Fabales; Fabaceae
Exons: 5
Source: RefSeq, a predicted model, not a curated record
AAGAAAAUAAUCACUUUGCAACACUUCACUUGCGACAGUUCGGCCACAACCGUUGCAAUGUAUAUUUUUUCCAGAUUUUGCAACGGUUGAUGCGACAGUUUAGGGAACCAUCGCAGCUUUUACAUCUAAAAUUGGGAACUAGCUUACUCAUCACCACCCACUCUCACUCUUUACUCUUUGUCAUGAAAAAAAUUCCUCUAAACCCUAAUCGCUCCAAUCACUCUCUAGAUUCAAAUCAACGAACCUUGUUCCCCAAAUUUCUCAAACGACGAAGCUUCCUUUCCACUAUUCCAAAUCCCUAAAUCUCCAUCGCUCCAUCGUUCUUUCUCCUGCGAGAUUCAUUGUUCCCUUGUUCGUUCUCUCGUUCUGUCUCCAACGAUGAAGCUUCUCUUUCACUACUCAGAUAUGGCGUCCCUGUAAGUGCCACACCACCACCGCCGGAACUUUCCCUCACUGCCACUCGCUCCUCGCCUCACGUAGUCGACUACCAUCACUGAGUUUGUCACUGCAUUUCUGGUUGUUUUGCAGUUCUGUUUUUGAAGUCUGAACACAAAUUGGGGAAGAGAUUCCACUUCGAGAACUCUAAGACAAAGCUAUUCAUGAAUCCCUUUACCCAGCAAGGUGAGUGGGCGAGUAAUCCACCAAUUUUCUGCCAUCUUUGAGUGUUUCUUAACAUUUGCAUUUGUCAAUUUACAUAUUGCUUUAGCCGCAGAUCUGGUGUUUUUGUGAGUGAACUCCUCUUCAGUAGCAGUUGCCUCACUGAUUCUCAUUAGAUGAUACGUGAAUCACAAAACACAUCUUUAUACAGUGUUCAAUUGCUCUCCUCAUCUGUCUGAAUAUCACUUUAAUCUUUGAGUUUACUUGCUCUCCUUUUCUUUUUAUAGUGUUCAACUGUACAAAAUUAUUUGUUGAGUAGGAAAGGAUUGAUGUUUAGGGCAUUGAAUGUGAAUUAGGGUUUACGAGACAUUCACUUGUUUCAAAUAGUCAUGACAGUGAAAUUGAUACAUUUUGAUAACUAAGGGUUGUAGAGUAGUGAGGACUUGAUCUCUCUCUUUGUAUUAGAAUUUUAUGGACUUAAUGUAGCAUAUUUUAGAAACAUCUAUGUUGAACCAUCAUGACUAUUUUGUGUUUAAAAUCAUAUAAGUUCAGGUUGUGCUACUGUGGUUAGUGAAAAUUUGCUUUGAAAGAUCAAAUAUCUAGCUUGUGUACUCGUGUGUUAAUCCUUUUUGAGUUUUCAUUUAACCACAGUUGAGUUUUGUGUUUGGAAUCUCUCAAGCUCAACAUGGUAAACUCUUGUGGACCUUUUUCUCUUAACUUGUUACUAUUUUGAAGCUUAAAAAUACCACUCAUGUGUUGUUAAUAACGUAUGAGUUUCCUUAAGGGUGUAUUUACAUAGUCUUUAUUCUUAAUCAUUGGAACUCAUAUGACAAUUGUGUUUCAUUGUUGCUUCUUUGAACAUAAUGUUUGCAAUUCAAUGUGAUAUGUGUUUGAAAUAUCAUGAGAAGGCUCUGAAUGUUCAAAAAUCAUUUUUCCAAUUAUGCAUUCAAUUAUACAUUGAAUCUUUUUGAGGCACUGUGAGAUGUGAGGCAAGUAAUAUUGGAUGCUAUAAAUUUUUCUCAUUCCUCAUUUUGAAUUCAGUGUCGUUAUGCCACCAUUGCCUAAUAAGUGUGAUUGUGAUUUUAUUUUUGACACAGGUCUUAUAAUAUCAUUUACUAUUGUUUUACAGAUAGAUACUAACUAGGUGUUGAUUAUGAUGGGAAAAUGAAUCAUGUUGGCUUUGGCUUGUACAAUCAAAUUGCAGGACUCAUCAUAGAAAAGUUUGUUGUGGAGGGCUAAAUGAAGUCACUUGCAAAUGCUGAAUAAACUCUUAGACCCGUGAGACGAUGGAAUCAAGCGCUUCAUACAAGCUUAAUCUGGAUAUUCCAUUUCACUUUUUGGCAACAAACAUAGAAUCCCCAAGAGAUGUUAGGCAUUCCUUCUUAAGUGAGUCUAGCUAGCACUAAUUAAGGAUCAUGAAGCAACAUCAAAUACUUCGGAAUAUUUAGAUAUUUCAUGAACCUAUUAUUUUGACAUAAUGUUUUGUAUGUUUAGCCACUCUACUAAUGUUUAUGUUUUAGUUUUUGAAUGUUUGAACUACAUUAAUUUUUUCUUUGGAGUUUCAAGUACUUAGAUUAAAUUUUUGAUGUAUGGAUAUUGUCACUAUUGAAUGAAUUAUAUGAAUGAGAUUAAGUUAUUUAUAUA